UACGGAGGGUGCAAGCGUUGCUCGGAAUUAUUGGGCGUAAAGGGUAGGUAGGUGGUCUUAUUUGUCUGGGGUGAAAGCCUUGAGCUUAACUCAAGAAGUGCCCCAGAAACGGUAAGACUAGAGUCCUGGAGAGGGUCGUGGAAUUCCCGGUGUAGCGGUGAAAUGCGUAGAGAUCGGGAGGAACACCAGAGGCGAAAGCGGCGACCUGGACAGGCACUGACACUCAACUACGAAAGCGUGGGGAGCAAACAGG
Molecule: ribosomal RNA, 253 nt
Filed under: uncultured bacterium
Lineage: Bacteria
Description: partial 16S ribosomal RNA
Rfam family: Bacterial small subunit ribosomal RNA
Source: RNAcentral